RNAcentral lists this ribosomal RNA (392 nucleotides) under uncultured bacterium. RNAcentral describes it as "partial 16S ribosomal RNA". It matches the Rfam family "Bacterial small subunit ribosomal RNA", at positions 523 to 918 of the family's 1533-position model. The record is from RNAcentral.
ACACGUAGGGGCCUGACGUUGUUCGGAAUCAUUGGGCGUAAAGGGCGCGCAGGCGGCCGUCCAAGUCCGGUGUUAAAUGGUCGGGCUCAACCCGAUCAUGCGCUGGAAACUGGGCGGCUUGAGUCCCGUAGGGGAUGCCGGAAUUCCAGGUGUAGGGGUGAAAUCUGUAGAUAUCUGGAAGAACACCGAUGGCGAAGGCAGGCAUCUGGCCGGAGACUGACGCUGAGGCGCGAAGGCGCGGGGAGCGAACAGGUUUAGAUACCCUGGUAGUCCGCGCAGUAAACGAUGCGCACCAGGUGUCGGGCGGCAGCGCCCGGUACCGGAGCUAACGCGAUGAGUGCGCCGCCUGGGGAGUAUGCCCGCAAGGGUGAAACUCAAAGGAAUUGACGGGG